This 478-nucleotide ribosomal RNA is filed under the name uncultured bacterium. RNAcentral's name for it is "partial 16S ribosomal RNA". It matches the Rfam family "Bacterial small subunit ribosomal RNA", at positions 28 to 523 of the family's 1533-position model. The record is from RNAcentral.
GACGAACGCUGGCGGCGUGCUUGACACAUGCAAGUCGAACGGUAAGGCCCUUCGGGGUACACGAGUGGCGAACGGGUGAGUAACACGUGGGUGAUCUGCCCUGCACUUCGGGAUAAGCCUGGGAAACUGGGUCUAAUACCGGAUAGGACUCCUGGCUUCAUGGUUGGGGGUGGAAAGCUUUUGGGGUGUGGGAUGGGCCCGCGGCCUAGCAGCUUGUUGGUGGGGUAAUGGCCUACCAAGGCGACGACGGGUAGUCGGCCUGAGAGGGUAACCGGUCACACUGGGACUGGGAUACGGCCCAGAAUCCUACGGGAGGCAGCAGGGGGGAAUAUUGCACAAUGGGCGCAAGCCUGAUGCAUCGACGCCGCGUGAGGGAUGACGGCCUUCGGGUUGUAAACCUCUUUCAGCUAUGACGAAGCGCAAGUGACGGUAGUAGCAGAAGAAGGACCGGCCAACUACGUGCCAGCCGCCGCAGUAA